UUAUACUGUGAACUGCGAAUGGCUCAUUAAAUCAGUUAUCGUUUAUUUGAUAGUACCUUACUACAUGGAUACCUGUGGUAAUUCUAGAGCUAAUACAUGCUAAAAACCCCGACUUCAGGAAGGGGUGUAUUUAUUAGAUAAAAAACCAACGCCCUUCGGGGCUCCUUGGUGAAUCAUAAUAACUUAACGAAUCGCAUGGCCUUGCGCCGGCGAUGGUUCAUUCAAAUUUCUGCCCUAUCAACUUUCGAUGGUAGGAUAGUGGCCUACCAUGGUGGCAACGGGUAACGGGGAAUUAGGGUUCGAUUCCGGAGAGGGAGCCUGAGAAACGGCUACCACAUCCAAGGAAGGCAGCAGGCGCGCAAAUUACCCAAUCCCGAUACGGGGAGGUAGUGACAAUAAAUACUGAUACGGGGCUCUUUUGGGUCUCGUAAUUGGAAUGAGAACAAUUUAAAUCCCUUAACGAGGAACAAUUGGAGGGCAAGUCUGGUGCCAGCAGCCGCGGUAAUUCCAGCUCCAAUAGCGUAUAUUAAAGUUGUUGCAGUUAAAAAGCUCGUAGUUGAACCUUGGCUCUGGCUGGCCGGUCCGCCUCACCGCGAGUACUGGUCCGGCUGGAGCUUUCCUUCUGGGGAACCUCAUGGCCUUCACUGGCUGUGGGGGGAACCAGGACUUUUACUGUGAAAAAAUUAGAGUGUUCAAAGCAGGCCUUUGCUCGAAUACAUUAGCAUGGAAUAAUAGAAUAGGACGUGCGGUUCUAUUUUGUUGGUUUCUAGGACCGCCGUAAUGAUUAAUAGGGAUAGUCGGGGGCGUCAGUAUUCAGCUGUCAGAGGUGAAAUUCUUGGAUUUGCUGAAGACUAACUACUGCGAAAGCAUUCGCCAAGGAUGUUUUCAUUAAUCAGGGAACGAAAGUUAGGGGAUCGAAGACGAUCAGAUACCGUCGUAGUCUUAACCAUAAACUAUGCCGACUAGGGAUCGGACGGGAUUCUAUUAUGACCCGUUCGGCACCUUACGAGAA
This 1012-nucleotide ribosomal RNA is filed under the name Penicillium corylophilum. RNAcentral describes it as "SSU rRNA". It matches the Rfam family "Eukaryotic small subunit ribosomal RNA", at positions 74 to 1096 of the family's 1831-position model. Lineage: Eukaryota; Fungi; Ascomycota; Eurotiomycetes; Eurotiales; Aspergillaceae. The record is from RNAcentral.